This is a long non-coding RNA of Megalobrama amblycephala (Wuchang bream), 1406 nucleotides long. RefSeq lists it as uncharacterized. NCBI's taxonomy places the organism in Eukaryota, Metazoa, Chordata, Actinopteri, Cypriniformes, Xenocyprididae. The transcript is spliced from 3 exons. The record is from RefSeq and is a predicted model, not a curated record.
UGUACAGUAUAUGCUGUCCUUUUUCAUACUAUUACAGCAGUAUGCAAAGAGACAAAAUAAAAUAUUCUGGAGGAUAAAAAGCAGCUGCUGAAAAGAGCUCUUGCCAUAGAUAUUUUUGUUAUAACAUAUUACAAUACCAAGCGUUAUGUCAUUCUCAUGAUGUCUGAAAAUAAAACAUGAAAGAAAUUGACAGCUGAUUCAGUCAAGCUGACAGAUAAGCUUUAAUUGUAGGGCAACCAUAUGAUUUGAAACGAUAAGUUUCAGUUUUUUUGAAUGGAAGUUCACCAAACCGGAAGUGGAACCCGUAAUUUGAAACGCAGUAGGCUAGUCAGGAAUAAGGCUAGUCAAUAAUCCUCACACUUUAUGUUUUUGACCUCCCUGAGCUGUUGUUUGUGCCCCAAUCUUAUGCAACAAAAGCAUGCUUUUGCAGUGUGUUUUUAUAUUUGAAUUAACCCUAAUUAUCAAACUAAUAAUGUAAUAAUAUGUUGUCAGUGGCCUACAAAUGAACUGGCCUGAUUAGCUGCUUCAGAUGUAUUUGAGUAAGGGUUGGGAAUAAACUCUUAAGCACAGUGAGUCUGCAAUAAAAGGGUUAAAUAACUGAUCAAGGCUGUAAAACUCUCUCUGUCUCUCACUUUCACUCACACACACACACACACACACACACACACACACACACACACACACACACACACACACACACACACACACACACACACACACACACACACACACACACACACACACACACACACAGACACACACACACACACACACACACACACACACACACACACACACACACACACAGAGGGAGGGGGGAGGGGGACUGAGACCCUACGUCUAAGAGAGCUUAAGUGUGUGCGUAAGAAUGUUUGAAAAAUCCACAUUUAAACCAAAAUAUCUGACUUCCUGUUGGUCAGAGCUAAUGACUGUAAAUGAGAAAGUUGUCCAGUUUAAUGAGAACAAUAAGUGUACCGAGUUUGGUGACUGUAGGUUAAACAAAACCCCCCACUUUUGUCAAAAGGUGGCGCUGCAGAGCCCCUGCUCCCCGCCCGUUUCUAAGGCUUUGUCCAUAUCUACUGUAUGACAAUAAUGAUAUGUGUAUCGAGUUUCAUCCAAUUUGAAGCAUGUUAACGGCUUCAAAAACGCCCAAGAAUAUUAUAAAAGUUUGACGUGUUGCCAAGGCAACUAUGUUUGAGAUAUCACAAUUCUUUUCAAAAGUCUACAUCUGCCAUGUUUUGACAUUAUUGUGGUGAAAUUUGAAGCAAAUCGGAUAAAAAUAAGAUGGUGAUCUCAAAGCAUUUUGAAAGUGACACGCUUCCUGCUGCCAGUUGGUGGCAGUAUAACUUUGACUCACAAUAGUCACAUCCAUGUGAUCGGACUAUUACAACCAACACACUCGUGAA